GUAGGGUCCAAGCGUUAAUCGGAAUUACUGGGCGUAAAGCGUGCGCAGGCGGUUGUGCAAGACCGAUGUGAAAUCCCCGGGCUUAACCUGGGAAUUGCAUUGGUGACUGCACGGCUAGAGUGUGUCAGAGGGGGGUAGAAUUCCACGUGUAGCAGUGAAAUGCGUAGAGAUGUGGAGGAAUACCGAUGGCGAAGGCAGCCCCCUGGGAUAACACUGACGCUCAUGCACGAAAGCGUGGGGGGAGCAAACAGGAUUAGAUACCCUGGUAGUCCACGCCCUAAACGAUGUCAACUAGUCGUUGGGGAUUCAUUUCCUUAGUAACGUAGCUAACGCGUGAAGUUGACCGCCUGGGGAGUACGGUCGCAAGAUUA
RNAcentral lists this ribosomal RNA (371 nucleotides) under uncultured organism. RNAcentral's name for it is "partial 16S ribosomal RNA". It matches the Rfam family "Bacterial small subunit ribosomal RNA", at positions 527 to 896 of the family's 1533-position model. The record is from RNAcentral.